Molecule: small nucleolar RNA, 140 nt
Filed under: Penicillium oxalicum 114-2
Lineage: Eukaryota; Fungi; Ascomycota; Eurotiomycetes; Eurotiales; Aspergillaceae
Description: A. fumigatus snoRNA Afu_198
Rfam family: A. fumigatus snoRNA Afu_198
Source: Rfam by way of RNAcentral
UGCCGAAAGCUUCAAUGAUGAGACCUUAUCAAUGAACCGAAUUUUUUAGGAAGAGCCGGAAGAGGUAUGGCAGUUAGGGCCCAAAGAGGUUUCCAGCUGUCGUCGAUGCUUAUAAUGGUUCUGCUGAAGGAGUCUUGAGG